GGGUCGUUAACUCAGUCGGUAGAGUAUCUGCCUUUUAAGUAGAGAGUCACUGGUUCGAGUCCAGUACGACCCACCA
RNAcentral lists this transfer RNA (76 nucleotides) under Desulfamplus sp. RNAcentral's name for it is "tRNA-Lys". It matches the Rfam family "tRNA". Rfam says of the family: Transfer RNA (tRNA) molecules are approximately 80 nucleotides in length. Lineage: Bacteria; Pseudomonadati; Thermodesulfobacteriota; Desulfobacteria; Desulfobacterales; Desulfobacteraceae. The record is from RNAcentral.